UAGUAAUCCUGGGUCUGUUUGAACAUUGUCUGUCCUGCAGGUGCUGGAGGCGAACAUGUGGCUGGUGUCGGGAGACACCACCAGCCUCAUGGGGACAGGAAGCUGAAGGUGGUCCAACUGUCCGCGCUGAUCAGUGUCCUCAGACUCCCCCCCAACGCUGAGGCCUGUCCCAUGGAGAACAUGUCAGCAUUUUGUGUGGAGACGCGGGACAGGACCAUGGUGUUUGCUGUGCUCAAAGAUGAUUGCGUGGAGUGGGUCGAAAAACUUUGUCCCAGCACGUUUCAGAAAGGUGACGGCUCAGGUUCUACUCAGAUUGAAAUGGAGGAGAACCAGAUAUACGUCUCAGUAGAUGAAGGUAAGACUUCUGU
This is a long non-coding RNA of Notothenia coriiceps (black rockcod), 368 nucleotides long. RefSeq lists it as uncharacterized. NCBI's taxonomy places the organism in Eukaryota, Metazoa, Chordata, Actinopteri, Perciformes, Nototheniidae. The transcript has 3 exons. The record is from RefSeq and is a predicted model, not a curated record.